Molecule: ribosomal RNA, 1405 nt
Filed under: uncultured Bordetella sp.
Lineage: Bacteria; Pseudomonadati; Pseudomonadota; Betaproteobacteria; Burkholderiales; Alcaligenaceae
Description: partial 16S-23S ribosomal RNA intergenic spacer
Rfam family: Bacterial small subunit ribosomal RNA
Source: RNAcentral
AGUUCGAUCAUGGCUCAGAUUGAACGCUGGCGGGAUCGCUUUACAUGCAAGUCGAACGGCAGCACCGGACUUCGGUCUGGUGGCGAGUGGCGAACGGGUGAGUAAUGUAUCGGAACGUGCCCUGGUAGCGGGGGAUAACUACGCGAAAGCGUAGCUAAUACCGCAUACGCCCUUCGGGGGAAAGCGGGGACCUUCCGGGCCUCGCACUAUUGGAAGCGGCCGAUAUCGGAUUAGCUAGUUGGUGGGGGUAACGGCUCACCAAGGCGACGAUCCGUAGCUGGUUUGAAGAGGACGACCAGCCACACUGGGACUGAGACCUGGCCCAGACUCCUACGGGAGGCAGCAGUGGGGAAUUUUGGACAAUGGGGGAAACCCUGAUCCAGCCAUCCCGCGUGUGCGAUGAAGGCCUUCGGGUUGUAAGCACUUUUGGCAGGGAAAGAAACGGCACGGGAUAAUACCUGAUACAACUGACGUACCUACGAAUAAGCACCGGCUAACUACGUGCCAGCAGCCGCGGUAUUGCGUAGAAAGUGCAAGCGUUAAUCGGAAUUACUGGGCAAUAAAGCGUGCGCAGGCGGUUCCGGAAAGAAAGAUGUGAAAUCCCAGAGCUUAACUUUGGAACUGCAUUUUUAACUACCGAGCUAGAGUGUGUCAGAGGGAGGUGGAAUUCCGCGAUGUAGCAGUGAAAUGCGUAGAUAUGCGGAGGAACACCGAUGGCGAAGGCAGCCUCCUGGGAUAACACUGACGCUCAUGCACACGAAAGCGUGGGGAGCAAACAGGAUUAGAUGCCCUGGUAGUCCGCGCCUAAACGAUGUCAGCUAGCUGUUGGGGCCUUCGGGCCUUGGUAGCGCAACUAACGCGUGAAGUUGACCGCCUGGGGAAGUACGGUCGCAAGAUUAAAAAACUCAAAGGAAUUGACGGGGGCCCGCACAAGCGGUGGGCAUGUGGUUUAAUUCGAAGCAACGCGCAGAACCUUACCAGCUCUUGACAUUCGGGGUUUGGGCAGUGGGGCAUUGUGUCCUUUGAUUCAGGCUGGCCCCAGAACAGGUGCUGCAUGGCUGUCGUCAGCUCGUGUCGUGAGAUGUUGGGUUGGAGUCCCGCAACGAGCGCAACCCUCGCCCUUAGUUGCCAGCAUUUGGUUGCGGGCACUCUAAGGGACUGCCAGUGAGCAAAAGCCGAGAGGAAGGUGGGGAUGACGUCAAGUCCUCAUGGCCCUUACGGGCUGCGGGCUACACGUGCUGACGGUGGUGACGGUGGGCAGCGAGACAGCGAUGUCGAGCCCUCAAUCUCAAAGCCAUCUCAGUUCGGUUGCGCUCUGACUCGGAGUGCAUGGAGGAGUUGGAAUCGCUAGUAAUCGCAGAUCAGCAUGCUGCCAGGUGAAUACGUUCCCGGGCCUUGUACACCU